GAUGAACGCUGGCGGCGUGCCUAAUACAUGCAAGUCGAGCGAACGGACGAGAAGCUUGCUUCUCUGAUGUUAGCGGCGGACGUGUGUGUAACACGUGUAUAACCUACCUAUAAGUCUUGGAUAACUUCGGGAAACCGGAGCUAAUCCCGUAUGAUAUUUUGAACCGCUUGGUUCAAAAGUGAAAUACGGUCUUGCUGUCACUUAUAGAUGGAUCCGCGCUGCAUUAGCUAGUUGGUAAGGUAACGGCUUACCAAGGCAACCAUGCAUAGCCGACCUGAUAGGGGGAUAGGCAAAACGGGAAGUGAGACAGGGACCAGAGAACUACGGGAGGAAGAAGAAGGGAAUAUUCCGCAAGGGGGGAAAGCAUGACGGAGCAACGCCGCGUGAGUGAUGAAGGUCUUCGGAUCGGAAAACUCUGUUAUUAGGGAAGAACAUAAGUGUAAGAAAAUGUGCACAGCUUGACGGUACCUAAUCAGAAAGCCACGGCUAACUACGUG
This 497-nucleotide ribosomal RNA is filed under the name uncultured bacterium. RNAcentral's name for it is "partial 16S ribosomal RNA". It matches the Rfam family "Bacterial small subunit ribosomal RNA", at positions 28 to 507 of the family's 1533-position model. The record is from RNAcentral.